Bombyx mori (domestic silkworm) is the source of this 668-nucleotide long non-coding RNA. RefSeq lists it as uncharacterized. The transcript is spliced from 2 exons. The record is from RefSeq and is a predicted model, not a curated record. NCBI's taxonomy places the organism in Eukaryota, Metazoa, Arthropoda, Insecta, Lepidoptera, Bombycidae.
UAAAAAUAGGAUAUAUAGAAAUAAUUGCUGAGGUUUUCUAAGCAAAAUUUUACUAAUGAAAUGCCAAGAUUAAAUUAAUUGUUUGCUAAUUGUGAAUAUUUUGAUAUAUCAUAAGAAGAUACUGAGUAAGAUCUUACUCGGUAAGAUGUACUGAAAGUUAAAUAUUUUGUACAUUUUAAUCAUUUUCUUAUAACCUGACUGGUUUUAAUACGCUUAUAUAAAAGAGAUGUACUUUUUCUUGAAGCGUUUCAGCGCUACGUGAUGUGUAGAGCAGUGGAUAUUCAAAAGCAUUUUGGACAGUCGAAUUCGCGGAUCGAUUAGCGUAACCAAUUAUUAAAACGUGAAUGCCGUCGCCUGUCUUGAGACGUGCGAUCGGAUCGGAAUCGUAUCGGAUCGGAUCGAAUUGGAAAUUGUAAUACAUGGACUUCAACAGUACCAGGGGCAGAGGUACACCGUUGCCUACCGUUAAGUGCUCUCUACAAGCCACCUGGGAUUGUAUCUCCAUAUAUUCUUUGAAAUGUGUCUUAAGGAGGGCCUUUUCUGUUUCUUCCUUUGGUGUUUCUUUUACAUCAUCCGUUUUUGGUUCUAUGAUUUGAAUUUUAUCAUUAUAAAAAUGUACACUAAAAUUUAAAUAUUCAAAACCGAAACAUUAAAUGUAUAAUAUUUCA